CCUACGGGGUGCAGCAGUGGGGAAUAUUGCACAAUGGGGGAAACCCUGAUGCAGCAACGCAGCGUGAGUGAGGAAGGAUUUCGGUAUGUAAAGCUCUAUCGGCAGGGGGGAAGGAGGACUGUACCUGACUAAGAAGCCCCGGCUAACUACGUGCCAGCAGCCGCGGUAAUACGGAGGGGGCGAGCGUUAUCCGGAUUUACUGGGUGUAAAGGGGGCGCAGGCGGCAGCGCAAGCCAGUAGGGAACGGCCGGGGCCCAACCCCGGUGCUGCGCUUGGAACUGCGCGGCGGGAGUGCAGGAGGGGCAGGCGGAAUUACUGGUGUAGCGGUGAAAUGCGUAGAUAUCAGGAGGAACACCGGUGGCGAAGGCGGCCUGCUGGACUGUGACUGACGUUGAGGCACGAAAGCGUGGGGAGCAAACAGGAUUAGAUACCCGGGUAGUC
RNAcentral lists this ribosomal RNA (441 nucleotides) under uncultured bacterium. RNAcentral's name for it is "partial 16S ribosomal RNA". It matches the Rfam family "Bacterial small subunit ribosomal RNA", at positions 338 to 795 of the family's 1533-position model. The record is from RNAcentral.